Molecule: long non-coding RNA, 722 nt
Filed under: Pan troglodytes (chimpanzee)
Lineage: Eukaryota; Metazoa; Chordata; Mammalia; Primates; Hominidae
Description: lincRNA
Source: RNAcentral
UCCAGCUAUUUGGCCCAACCCAUAUUAGAUUGUGUUAUAAAGACAUGGUAAAUUACAUCACGAAGGGAAGAGCAGAGGAAACAUAAUAUUCCUUCAAGACCCAUCAGCUCAGAUGUUAGCAGAACACCCCUAAGGAGGAAAACAAGAAAUUUUGGGUUUGAACUUGGUGCUUCCCAGCAGCCCUGGGAGUGGGGUCAGAAGCCCUGCUGGGGGGCGAAGAACUCUGAGGAUCAAAGAUGUUGAGCAUCACCUUAGAGGCCAAAGAUCAGAACAGCGGAGGUGGCCUUUGAAGCCCAACCUGUCUUUCACCAGAGAGUGAGAACGGCCUCUAUUUCCAGGAAGCUCACUGCAGCAAUAAUCACGAUGCUCUGAGCCUGACAAGCAAAAGAAAACUUCUUUAGGAGGAUAAAAGGGAGAUGAAGAAACAGAAAACACAUCAGCUCUCCAUCCAGAUUACAGAAAGCAGAAAACAUCCUGAAGUGAAUAACAUAGGAAUCACUCUUUUUCCCCCCUGAGAUAGCAGGUUACUUAUGAGAAACAAGCUUGAAAUCUCUGCACCUGGACCAGCUUCCAGAGGCUUUUGUCCUGACCAGAUAUUUACUGAAUAACUAGAAGAUGCUAGAUGCUAUUCUAUUCAUUUUAUACCACUCUUCAAAUUACGGAUGUUUCCCCACCGAAACCGACCCUCACAAAAGAAAAACUAUCUGGGGCCUUGGAUCCUC